CAGUCGCCACGGUAAUACGAAGGGUGCAAGCGUUAAUCGGAAUUACUGGGCGUAAAGCGUGCGUAGGCGGUGAGUUAAGUCUGCUGUGAAAUCCCCGGGCUCAACCUGGGAAUGGCAGUGGAUACUGGCUCGCUAGAGUGUGUCAGAGGAUGGUGGAAUUCCCGGUGUAGCGGUGAAAUGCGUAGAGAUCGGGAGGAACAUUAGUGGCGAAGGCGGCCAUCUGGGACAACACUGACGCUGAGGCACGAAAGCGUGGGGAGCAAACGGGAUUAGAUACCCCAGUAGUCCCUGUCUCUUAUAA
RNAcentral lists this ribosomal RNA (301 nucleotides) under uncultured bacterium. RNAcentral's name for it is "partial 16S ribosomal RNA". It matches the Rfam family "Bacterial small subunit ribosomal RNA", at positions 509 to 809 of the family's 1533-position model. The record is from RNAcentral.